UAAUUAAUUAAGGUUGCUAAUGGAGCCCGAAUCUGAUGUAUUUUUCGGUCAGGUGUUGUUUGAUUUAUUUUACAGUUUUGAAUGCAGUAUGGUGCCUGAUGUGUUUAUCCUAUGGUUUCGUAUGCAUGAAUCACAGUUUCAUUUAUUAUGGUUUGAAUUAUUGUGAACCCGAUGUUGUGUUGCCUUCUUUGGUGUUCAUUACUGGUUUACGUGUUUAUAUUUGAUUGGAUAAUUGAGAUUAAGAAAAAAAAUAGAAAAAGGUAUGUGAAUUGAUAAAUGGAUAGUGUCGACAGCCUGACUAGAUAUCUUGGGAGAUGGUGGACGGACCGGGUCUAUAGGGAACCCUACUGGAAACGUGGUCUCUCAUAUCGGACGGGGUAU
Molecule: long non-coding RNA, 381 nt
Filed under: Carica papaya (papaya)
Lineage: Eukaryota; Viridiplantae; Streptophyta; Magnoliopsida; Brassicales; Caricaceae
Description: long non-coding RNA (CPAP_LNC006028)
Source: RNAcentral